UGCAAGUGAUGUAAACGAAUAUUUGCUAUCUGAUGAUAAUGCUGACGCAUUUCCACCAAGAUCGCUGAUGCA
The sequence is a small nucleolar RNA, 72 nucleotides long. Its record names the gene SNORD24. It matches the Rfam family "Small nucleolar RNA SNORD24". Rfam says of the family: U24 is a member of the C/D class of snoRNA which contain the C (UGAUGA) and D (CUGA) box motifs. C/D box snoRNAs have been shown to act as methylation guides for a number of RNA targets. The record is from Ensembl.